This 460-nucleotide ribosomal RNA is filed under the name uncultured bacterium. Its description in RNAcentral is "partial 16S ribosomal RNA". It matches the Rfam family "Bacterial small subunit ribosomal RNA", at positions 338 to 795 of the family's 1533-position model. The record is from RNAcentral.
CCUACGGGAGGCAGCAGUGAGGAAUAUUGGUCAAUGGACGAGAGUCUGAACCAGCCAAGUAGCGUGAAGGAUGACUGCCCUAUGGGUUGUAAACUUCUUUUAUAUGGGAAUAAAACGUUCCACGUGUGGGAUUUUGUAUGUACCAUAUGAAUAAGGAUCGGCUAACUCCGUGCCAGCAGCCGCGGUAAUACGGAGGAUCCGAGCGUUAUCCGGAUUUAUUGGGGUUAAAGGGAGCGUAGGUGGAUUGUUAAGUCAGUUGUGAAAGUUUGCGGCUCAACCGUAAAAUUGCAGUUGAAACUGGCAGUCUUGAGUACAGUAGAGGUGGGCGGAAUUCGUGGUGUAGAGGUGAAAUGCUUAGAUAUCACGAAGAACUCCGAUUGCGAAGGCAGUUCACUGGACUGCAACUGACACUGAGGCUCGAAAGUGUGGGUAUCAAACAGGAUUAGAUACCCUUGUAGUC